This 457-nucleotide ribosomal RNA is filed under the name Salmonella enterica. RNAcentral's name for it is "bacterial SSU rRNA". It matches the Rfam family "Bacterial small subunit ribosomal RNA", at positions 1 to 456 of the family's 1533-position model. The record is from RNAcentral. Lineage: Bacteria; Pseudomonadati; Pseudomonadota; Gammaproteobacteria; Enterobacterales; Enterobacteriaceae.
AAAUUGAAGAGUUUGAUCAUGGCUCAGAUUGAACGCUGGCGGCAGGCCUAACACAUGCAAGUCGAACGGUAGCACAGAGAGCUUGCUCUCGGGUGACGAGUGGCGGACGGGUGAGUAAUGUCUGGGAAACUGCCUGAUGGAGGGGGAUAACUACUGGAAACGGUGGCUAAUACCGCAUAACGUCGCAAGACCAAAGAGGGGGACCUUCGGGCCUCUUGCCAUCAGAUGUGCCCAGAUGGGAUUAGCUUGUUGGUGAGGUAACGGCUCACCAAGGCGACGAUCCCUAGCUGGUCUGAGAGGAUGACCAGCCACACUGGAACUGAGACACGGUCCAGACUCCUACGGGAGGCAGCAGUGGGGAAUAUUGCACAAUGGGCGCAAGCCUGAUGUAGCCAUGCCGCGUGUAUGAAGAAGGCCUUCGGGUUGUAAAGUACUUUCAGCGGGGAGGAAGGUGUUG